RNAcentral lists this ribosomal RNA (497 nucleotides) under uncultured bacterium. RNAcentral's name for it is "partial 16S ribosomal RNA". It matches the Rfam family "Bacterial small subunit ribosomal RNA", at positions 28 to 507 of the family's 1533-position model. The record is from RNAcentral.
GAUGAACGCUGGCGGCGUGCCUAAUACAUGCAAGUCGAGCGAACAGAUGAGGAGCUUGCUCCUCUGACGUUAGCGGCGGACGGGUGAGUAACACGUGGAUAACCUACCUAUAAGACUGGGAUAACUUCGGGAAACCGGAGCUAAUACCGGAUAAUAUAUUGAACCGCAUGGUUCAAUAGUGAAAGACGGUUUUGCUGUCACUUAUAGAUGGAUCCGCGCCGCAUUAGCUAGUUGGUAAGGUAACGGCUUACCAAGGCAACGAUGCGUAGCCGACCUGAGAGGGUGAUCGGCCACACUGGAACGGAGACACGGUCCAGACUCCUACGGGAGGCAGCAGUAGGGAAUCUUCCGCAAAGGGCGAAAGCCUGACGGAGCAACGCCGCGGGAGUGAUGAAGGUCUUCGGAUCGUAAAACUCUGUUAUUAGGGAAGAACAAAUGUGUAAGUAACUAUGCACGUCUUGACGGUACCUAAUCAGAAAGCCACGGCUAACUACGUG